This 1983-nucleotide long non-coding RNA is filed under the name Oryza sativa (Asian cultivated rice). RNAcentral's name for it is "long non-coding RNA (OSAT_LNC000066)". The record is from RNAcentral. Lineage: Eukaryota; Viridiplantae; Streptophyta; Magnoliopsida; Poales; Poaceae.
ACGGCCCAAUAGCUGAAGGCCUGGUAAACUACUCCGCCGCCAAGAGGCCCUAGCAAGGCAGCAUUUCCACCUCGCCGCCGCCGUCAUUGCCGCCGCGGCGCGGGCGUUUGCUCCGCGACGAGGACUCGAUGAGGGGAAAUGUCUCCAGCGUCAUCUCCGGCGGCGACGAGGUGAGCAUACAAGAUACGCUCCUAUCCCACGAUCUCCCUUCCCUUCUGGUUGCAUUUGCAUCUACUGUCAUGUUAUUGCUGUACAUAAGAGCUUGGUGUUUCGAUUAACGAAAUUGUAUCUUUGUAAUGGCAAUUGUAGCUAGUUGCAAAUGUUGCGGAGAGCUUGUGGAUCCAAAGACCCAGUGCCUCGAUUUCUUCUUUUUUUCUUUUGAGUUGCUGUGCACAAGCGCAUUUCUUUCUUCUCCAGUAUUUCAACAGCUAAGCAAUGGUAGGGUGUGAUGUCUGUGAGGAUAUUUGCAUACUUACCAACUUACUUACUAUACUAUAUAACAAAUGGAAUGAAGUGGGCAACCUUGGGUUCAUCUGUUAUUUGGUUGUGGAACCGGUCACAAUUUUAUAUCGAUAUGAUUGCAACUACAUAGUCUUAUAAUCCUAACUAAUCUAUCUCAAGUUAGGCCGUUUGGUCAUGUUUUCUAGAAAUGCAAUCUGCAAUACUAGUGGCGCUUACGUUUUAGAUAUGAUUAUUAUUAGUUAGGUACAUAAAAUCUACAGUUUGAUGUCAUCAUUGGACCAUUUUAUGCAAGUUAAUUAUGUUCACUUAUGCAUAUAUACUGGAUAAGUUGAAGGAAUGAAAUUUCUGUAUAUUAAAGUUUCUACUUACAGGUUACUUUUAACAAUAAAUUGAGAGAGCCUAGUCUGAUUAUAAGCUUCACGUUCCCCAUUAUGUACCAACUUCUUUGUAACUUGUCAUUAGAGAACUUUCUUUGGGACAUUGAGCUAUCACCAUCACAAUGUUAGGUGACAGAAUAAGAUCUUUGGCUUAAUAUUGAAAGGCUAUGUUAAGAUUCAAUGACUAGAUUUCUGGUGUACUGCGCUUGGUUAUCCCCCGACCCCUCCUAAUACUGUCUGCUGGCAAUGGGUUGCACUGAAGCCUUUUUCUUUCUGAAGUGUCAAAACUGUCAUAUUGUGGCAGAACUGAUGCUCUCUAGCCUCCCAGUUCUUUUUACAAGUUGUAUCUUGUCAUCUCUGUAAUAGUACCAUGUUAAGGAACCCUGUAAUUUUUUUUCUUCCUGUCAUAAUAUAUAAAACGGCAGAACUCCCGCCUUCUCUCAAAAAUUAUGUUGUAGUUGUUCAGUACGCUUCCCUGUGUAUGGCUGAUCUUAUCCAUGGAUCUUGCCCAUGCAUCAUGGAGCAUGUAUGUUUUAUCUGAUGCUGGAUCAUUUUCAUUUAUAUAGUAUUUGUCAUAUACCAAUUGCUAGUUAUUUAUUUAUUAAUUAGGAUUUAGGAGUUAGCAACCACAUCUGAAAAUGGCAUAUUAAUAUUUGAAAGUACUCGAUGUGUAGUAUCUGCCGUGGUCUGUGGAAGUCAUACUGGGUAAUAGUUUGGAGUGAAGUGUUUUAUGUCCUGUUACACAUGUCUUUUUAAUCCAAACAAAUGGACAGAACUUUGAUCUGUUGGCACUUACUGCCUUGCAGGCUUUCCAAGUGAUCAACGAUCCUGCUAGUGUGAGUUCUCCCUAUGUAUUACUCUAUAUUGGCAUUUAUCCUUUUAAGUGCCAUCUCCUUCAGACUUCAGUGAGCAAGUAGCAUUUUGGUCUUCCUAGCAAGUAGCAACAUAUCAUCACAAAAUCAGAUCUUAUGAUCUUGUGGUGUUUUUAAUUUCUUCUCCUAAUUUGUUUAGGAGUCAUAAAUGCACCAAAGAGAGGAUGUUUGUUUCUUUAUUUAUGACGGAAGUGACUGAAUUAACGGAAUAAAACACCAUUGUAAUAGUCUGGCACUCUGCUGCUGCUAGUACUGCAUUUGUGUUACUUAAA